AGAGUUUGAUCCUGGCUCAGAACGAACGCUGGCGGCAGGCCUAACACAUGCAAGUCGAGCGCACUCUUCGGAGUGAGCGGCGGACGGGUGAGUAACGCGUGGGAACGUGCCCUGAGGUCGGGAACAACCGCUGGAAACGGCGGCUAAUGCCCGAUAUCUCCUACGGGAGAAAGGUUUACUGCCUUGGGAUCGGCCCGCGUCGGAUUAGGUAGUUGGUGGGGUUACGGCCUACCAAGCCGACGAUCCGUAGCUGGUCUGAGAGGAUGAUCAGCCACACUGGGACUGAGACACGGCCCAGACUCCUACGGGAGGCAGCAGUGGGGAAUAUUGCGCAAUGGGCGAAAGCCUGACGCAGCCAUGCCGCGUGAGUGAAGAAGGCCUUAGGGUUGUAAAGCUCUUUCGACGGGGAAGAUGAUGACGGUACCCGUAGAAGAAGCCCCGGCUAACUCCGUGCCAGCAGCCGCGGUAAUACGGAGGGGGCAAGCGUUGUUCGGAAUUACUGGGCGUAAAGGGCGCGUAGGCGGACAUGCCAGUCAGGGGUGAAAUCCCGGGGCUCAACCUCGGAACUGCCUUUGAUACUGUAUGUCUUGAGUA
Molecule: ribosomal RNA, 594 nt
Filed under: uncultured bacterium
Lineage: Bacteria
Description: bacterial SSU rRNA
Rfam family: Bacterial small subunit ribosomal RNA
Source: RNAcentral